UACGUAUGUCGCGAGCGUUAUCCGGAAUUAUUGGGCAUAAAGGGCAUCUAGGCGGCCUAACAAGUCAGGGGUGAAAACCUGCGGCUCAACCGCAGGCCUGCCUUUGAAACUGUAAGGCUGGAGUACCGGAGAGGUGGACGGAACUGCACGAGUAGAGGUGAAAUGCGUAGAUAUGUGGAGGAAUGCCGAUGGUGAAGAUAGUCCACUGGACGGAAACUGACGCUGAAGUGCGAAAGCGGGGGGAGCGAACAGG
This 253-nucleotide ribosomal RNA is filed under the name uncultured bacterium. RNAcentral describes it as "partial 16S ribosomal RNA". It matches the Rfam family "Bacterial small subunit ribosomal RNA", at positions 524 to 776 of the family's 1533-position model. The record is from RNAcentral.